AGGCUUAACACAUGCAAGUCGAACGAUGAGUAUCCAGCUUGCUGGAUAUGAUUAGUGGCGAACGGGUGAGUAAUGCUUAGGAAUCUGCCUAGUAGUGGGGGAUAACCAUCCGAAAGGAUGGCUAAUACCGCAUACGACCUACGGGUGAAAGGGGGCGUAAGCUCUCGCUAUUAGAUGAGCCUAAGUCGGAUUAGCUGGUUGGUGGGGUAAAGGCCUACCAAGGCGACGAUCUGUAGCUGGUCUGAGAGGAUGAUCAGCCACACUGGGACUGAGACACGGCCCAGACUCCUACGGGAGGCAGCAGUGGGGAAUAUUGGACAAUGGGCGAAAGCCUGAUCCAGCCAUCCCGCGUGUGUGAAGAAGGCCUUUUGGUUGUAAAGCACUUUAAGUGGGGAGGAAAAGCUUGUGGUUAAUACCCACAAGCCCUGACGUUACCCACAGAAUAAGCACCGGCUAACUCUGUGCCAGCAGCCGCGGUAAUACAGAGGGUGCGAGCGUUAAUCGGAAUUACUGGGCGUAAAGCGCGCGUAGGUGGUUGUUUAAGUCAGAUGUGAAAUCCCUGGGCUUAACCUAGGAACUGCAUCUGAUACUGGACAACUAGAGUAGGUGAGAGGGAAGUAGAAUUCCAGGUGUAGCGGUGAAAUGCGUAGAGAUCUGGAGGAAUACCGAUGGCGAAGGCAGCUUCCUGGCAUCAUACUGACACUGAGGUGCGAAAGCGUGG
RNAcentral lists this ribosomal RNA (721 nucleotides) under Moraxella ovis. Its description in RNAcentral is "bacterial SSU rRNA". It matches the Rfam family "Bacterial small subunit ribosomal RNA", at positions 44 to 764 of the family's 1533-position model. The record is from RNAcentral. Lineage: Bacteria; Pseudomonadati; Pseudomonadota; Gammaproteobacteria; Moraxellales; Moraxellaceae.